Molecule: ribosomal RNA, 466 nt
Filed under: uncultured bacterium
Lineage: Bacteria
Description: bacterial SSU rRNA
Rfam family: Bacterial small subunit ribosomal RNA
Source: RNAcentral
CCUACGGGAGGCAGCAGUGAGGAAUAUUGGACAAUGGGGGGAACCCUGAUCCAGCCAUGCCGCGUGUGUGAAGAAGGCCUUUUGGUUGUAAAGCACUUUAAGCGAGGAGGAGGCUACCUAGAUUAAUACUUUAGGAUAGUGGACGUUACUCGCAGAAUAAGCACCGGCUAACUCUGUGCCAGCAGCCGCGGUAAUACAGAGGGUGCGAGCGUUAAUCGGAUUUACUGGGCGUAAAGCGUGCGUAGGCGGCCAAUUAAGUCAAAUGUGAAACCCCCGAGCUUAACUCGGGAAUUGCAUUCGAUACUGGUUGGCUAGAGUAUGGGAGAGGAUGGUAGAAUUCCAGGUGUAGCGGUGAAAUGCGUAGAGAUCUGGAGGAAUACCGAUGGCGAAGGCAGCCAUCUGGCCUAAUACUGACGCUGACGUACGAAAGCAUGGGGAGCAAACAGGAUUAGAUACCCCCGUAGUC